Molecule: small RNA, 772 nt
Filed under: Pongo abelii (Sumatran orangutan)
Lineage: Eukaryota; Metazoa; Chordata; Mammalia; Primates; Hominidae
Description: processed transcript
Source: RNAcentral
UGGGGAGGCAGGGUUGCCCGGUAGGUGGGGCCUUGGGGAGGCAGGGUUACCCAGAAGGUGGGGCCCUGGGGAGGCAGGACCCUGGGAAGGUGUGAUCACAGCAGAGAUGGGGCCCUGGAGUGAUGGGGUCACUGAGGAGGUGGAGAUCCCCGGGAGGUGGAGCCAGAGAGAGAGCAGAGCCUUGGUCCUGGCAGCAAGCGGCUGGGCAUCGAUGGCGACCGGGAGGCUGUUCCUCUAACACUACAGAUUAUUUACAGCAAGGGGGCCAUCAGUGGACGAAGCCGCUGGAGCAACCUGGAGAAGGUCUGUACCUCCGUGAACCUCAACAAGGCCUGCCGGAAGCAGGAGGAGCUGGGUGAGUGGCGUGGUCAGGGUGGGGUGGGCAGUAGGGAGGUGCUCUGAGCCUGGCCUGAGUGUCCCUGCCCUUCAGAUUCCAGCAUGGAGGCCCUGACGCUAAACCUGACAGAAGUGGUAAAAAGGCAGAACUCCAAAUCCAAGAAGGGCUUUAACCAGAUUAGCACAUCGCAGAUCAAAGUGGACAAGGUGCAGAUCAUCGGCUCCAACAGCUGCCCCUUUGCUGUAUGCCUGGACCAGGAUGAGAGAAAGAUCCUGCAGAGUGUAGUCAGAUGUGAGGUCUCACCAUGCUACAAGCCGGAGAAGAGCAACCUCUGCUCGCCACCCCAGACGCCUCCUGACCUGCCGGCCCAGGCCGCGCCUGAUCUCUGCUCCCUUCUCUGCCUGCCCAUCAUGACUUUCAGUGGAGCUCUGCCCU